Long non-coding RNA from Tupaia belangeri chinensis (Chinese tree shrew), 1623 nucleotides. RefSeq lists it as uncharacterized. The transcript has 2 exons. The record is from RefSeq and is a predicted model, not a curated record. NCBI's taxonomy places the organism in Eukaryota, Metazoa, Chordata, Mammalia, Scandentia, Tupaiidae.
CUCCGGCGGGUAGCGCCGCGCGCUCUGAGUCUGCGCGGCCAUCCUGGGAAGCGGUCUGUGUGGUUCAACUGGUGGCUCUCGGCCGGUAGCUUCCUAUCGUUUGAGCCGGGGUUCACAAGGAUGUUGGAGCGGACCAACUUGGAGUCGUAUCUAUUUAUACUUGUCAGGAAACUGGCCAAGAAUCUUGCAUCUUGAACCGCAGACUCCUGAAUCCUACCUAGCGUGUGAAGAAAAAUGUCGCCCCGUGGUGAUGUGAAGAAAGAUGAAAUCACCAGGAAAUAAGAGAUUGGCCUCCGCCGGCUGGAACGUUCCUGGAAACCCGCCCCAGACGGCGGAGGUGACUGCAGCGGUGAACUACGAACGAAGUCCCUGUCGUAAUGAAGUUGACGUGCUUAUGGAGGAGAUUGAAACGAUAGUUAAAGAAAGUGCAGCUUUUAAUAGGACCUGUUUUUUAAAAAAAUUGGUCUGAGGUGGAGUUACUAAAGCUACACGCCUGAGUAGAAGUCUCUGCUUCGAAGGGAAUUGUUAUAGUUGGAGUCAUGUACAUUAUUACAGUUUGCCUUUUCCAGAAAGUCAGAGUUGGAACCACAUGGCAUGCAGCAUUUUGAGAAUGGCCUCUUUCACUUAGUGACGCACACUUCCAUCGUGGCACUUCACACCUUGAUAACAUUUCUUUUGGGAACCGAAUAAUAUUUCAUUGCCUGGGUAUGCUAUAGUUUCCUUAUCCAUUUACCUGCUUUAUUUUGAUUCUGAGAAGUACUUCCCCAGCGUGCGUGCAUGUGCCCAAGAGAACCUAAGCCUCCUUUUCUAAGACGCCCUUCUGUUCCCUCUAGGGUUUCUGAAGAAUGUGCCCUUCCCAGUGCUUACUCAGCGCAGCACUGCUAACUGCUGUAUCUGCUACUCCUCAGCCGGCCGUGCUGCCUGGGCCCUAAGAGAUGCCCUAUUUACUAAAUGCCUGCAUCGGAGAAAUAAGAUCUAGCUAGCUGGUGCCAAGUGCAGAGCCUGGGUGUUGGCUUCUAGUUUACUACAAUGCACUGAAAGUCACUAUUUAAAAAAACACACACACAAACACAUUGAAAGAUACUUGUUAUGUAUAUUUGUCACCAAGGCAUCACAAAAAAGUCACAAAAAAGGCUUAGUUUAGCUCAUACUAUAGAUCCUGUGAAAACACAUUUUUCAUCUUCUCUGCAGUUUACAAUACUCAUAUAAAUUGAAAGCAGUCAAACAGCAUUGGAGACCACAUUAAUAAAAAACUUGUAAUUCGAUCCGGACUUCAGAAACUGGUGAGAUAAAAGGCCACGACAGACAAAUGCUAAGAAAUUUGUGGACUCGCCAAACUGUCACAGUAUUAUUUUCCUUUAUAAAAGCAUCUCAGUAGGACAAUAAAAAUGAUGAACAACACAAAAGUCAAAUUGGAGAUUUUGGUUUAGUACUUUCCCUGAGUCUUUCUCUUUUUUUUUAAUGACGUGUAAGUGAACCCAGUUCAAAAUCGACUCACAGGUCUAGCCUCCUUCACUUGACAUGGGGAAUAAAUUUAAAACAAGAAGCUUCACACACCGAAAUGGUCCCAGGGCGUUAUUAAAUACCAAAGUGCCUGUGUCGUUGCCACAGGGUUGUCGACGC